GAAGCUACUUUGUUAUGUAGCCAAUAUAAAUUAAAAAACAGCCUGAGUUUACAUAUGUAAAGUCAGGCUCUUUUAAAAUCCAAAGGGGGUUUGUGCCUGUAUGUCAAUCAGAGGGUAAAUACUUUAAUAAAAGGUGAUCACAGCUAAGAGGAAACCUGUCUUAAAUUACAUAUGCAAAUGAGCCAUCAGUAGUGAUCACUACUAAUAGUUUUCCUUUUAAAGGACAAUUUCAGGCCAGAUACAGUAGCUCAAGACUAUAAUCCGAGGACUUAGGGAGGUCAAGCAAAAGGAUUGUUUGUGCCCAGAAAUUCCAAGCUGCAGUGAACUAUGAUCAAUCCACUGUACUCCAGCCUAGGCUACCGAGUGAGAUCCUUUCUCUAAAAUAAAAUAAAAUUCCCAUAUAUCCAUAGGAAUAUAUUCAUCUCUUACAGUGACUGCAGAUUAGUUUUAAAACAUCUUUUUCAUAAUUCAUCAAUGCAAGUUAGUAAGAAUCAGAUAAUUUUCUAUUUUAAAAUGUUGGGAAUCUAGAACUCUUUUUUUUUUUUUAAUUCCAACUUGUUUUUCAGGCAUCAUAGUAGUUGGAAUAAUACAUAUAUAAUUGACUAGUCGUAAAACACAUGAGAGUACAAGAAGGGAAAUUUGGAAGCAAUAAGUCUGCUAGCACAUUACAAUCCUGUGCUAGCACUCCACCUUCAUUCUGCCAUCCUGGGUUAAUUAAAGAUGGUAGCCUAGAAAGGAAUGAACGACACUGACUUCAAGCAAUCUUUCCACUGAUUAUUCUUGGCUGAAUUUCAUUUAUUGAGUCAGAGAUUGCACUGCCUGGGAAAUGCCCCAAGGAGUGAAUUCUAGGCCUGGCCACAGUAGAAUCACCUGCAGAAUUUAAGAAGAAAUUGUUGGGCAUUCUUUCCAGCAAUCUUUAUUUAGUUGGCUUAUAAGGGAAUACAGGUAUAGCUUAUGUUUUUAAAUUUGUCCAGGUGUUUUCUGCCGUCACAGUCGGAAACCAUUGUCUUUGAGAAUGGCUAUUCUACCUUGCCAGUUACAAUAAGUAGGUAGCUACAUUUUCACAUAAAUUACAGUUUACAGAUGUUUGGAGGAGGAAAACAGGAUCUGAGGUGUUUUGAUAUGACUGUUAGCACCAAAAUCUGAAUGCCUUAAUUGUUCAGUGUGUUAAAUUGGAUGAUUAAAAUGGCCAUAAUUGGCUUAUUAAGAAAGCAAAGGGAAACAGCUGUGCUUUCAUUUUUUCUUCUAUUAAAGUACCUAGAGAAUAUGAUAUAGGAGCAUUAAAAGAGAAGCUUCUCAUUCACUGAGUUGGCCCUGAAUUAUCAUUUGCAUAAAAUCUUUUAUUCUAAGUGUUCCUCUUUUGUUUAUUAAAUCAGCAUAUUAUUUUUCAAAAUUACCAUGCGUCUUUUAACUCUCAUCCAGAUGUUGCAUAAAAUCAAAUAUUUAGGAAGCUGAAUGACAAUGAAAUCCAUAGACUUUGUAUUAGGGCUUAUUUCCCAGACUGUCACCUACGUAGUACUCAAAGUUGAUGUAGCCUAUAGCAAUACUCAAAUUUUAAUAUGGGUAAGAAUCAACAGUGAGUACUUAUUUUCAAAGUACUAACCUGUUCCCAUUUCCACAGUUUCUGAUUCACUACAUUGGGUGGGUCCUAGAAAUCUACACUUUUAAGCAUUCCUGGUGAUUUGAAUUCAAGUAUUCCAUGGUUCAUCUCCAAGAAACAUAGUGCUACAGACAGUAGCUGAACCUUAAAUCAUUCUUGGACACAGAAAGUAAUAUUCUCAAAGAUGUGGUCUCUGCAGAGUGAUGAUUAGGCCUAGAAGUCAUCAACCCCAGUGCCUCAAACUCAAAUCACAAAAAGACCCCGAUGCAAAUUAUCUUCAGGGCCAGAACUUGCAGCAGCUUCUUUCUUUAGUCCCCUGAUGCUCUUUAUUCCACCAGGGGAAAUAAGUUAGGUGCAUGGAAAGGCCACUAGUGGCCUCCCUAGAACCUCCUUUUUAUUUUUGAACCACAUCUAAAAGCUAGAAUAAGUAAAUCUAUUUGGUGUGUUUUUAUUGCAUCAUGAUUUAAUUAAAAGAACAAUUACUGAUGAUGGUAAAUGUGAUUCCCCUUCAUGGCCUUAAAAAUUUUGAAACACCAAAACAUAAAGAUGUCUAUCACAUAUCCAAAGUACUGAUAUAAAAAAAGGACAUGCAUUUUUCUGGGUUUCAAAAUUGACUAUACACUGUACUGUCAUACAGAAAGGGCAUAACACCUAAUAAAGAAGUGCUCAUGUUCAGAUAUACCAAGAUAUAAUACAAAAUAGACAGGAUCUUAUAAAAAACAAGUAUGACAAUAGAACCCUUUUUGUUUCUGAACAAAAAUGCAAACUCCUUUAAAAUGAAUGAGCCAUAUAAAACUUGCUAUAUUUGAGGACACUGUGCCAGUCCAUUGCUAGCUUCUAGUCCUCGUUGUGGAAGGUGACAGCAGUCAUGGUGAUGUAUGAGCAGAUGAGAGCCAAUGUGGGCAAGUUGCUCAAGGGUGACCACAGGUACAGUCCUGAGAACCUGGUCACCCUGGAGCACUAUUUGGAGAUGGAGGCCAACAAAAAUGCCUAUGACCUGGAAGCCAACCCAGCUGUGCUGAAGCUGUACUAGUCCAACCCAGUGUUUCUUCAGACCAUAGUCAUGCCCAGAUCCAACUGAAAGCCCUCACCAACCUGCCACCUACCAACUUCACCCUGUAAGUAAGUACAUGAUUGGCCAGGCACAUCAAGAAUGUGGCCAUCCGACAGAUUUUUAUCCCAGGAAACUGCUGGAGACCUGCCAUUUCCAGGCCUUCUGGCAAGUCCUGGAUGAAGGCAUGGACCGCUUAGAAGGUAUAAGUGGCUUUGAAGACUGUCCAAAUGUUUAUCUGCCCUGUCGUGGGUAUGACUUACCAGCACAUCAACUGCUGGCUACUGGCCGAGAUGCUCGGAUAUCUGUCAGACAGCCAGCUGAAGGCAUAGGUGAGAAAAUAAAGCUGGAGUGCCGAUGAGUCAGGGCAGAUCUUCAUCUGCAGCCAGGAAAAAAACAUUAAGCCCAAGAACUUUGUGGAGGAGAUAGACUUUGACAGUGUGUCCAGCAUCGUGGCGUCCUUCCAGUAACUGCAGGUGUUUAAUAAAGAUUUGUUGUCU
Sapajus apella (tufted capuchin) is the source of this 3151-nucleotide RNA transcript. It is a transcript of the gene named eukaryotic translation initiation factor 3 subunit K pseudogene, with no coding region annotated. Lineage: Eukaryota; Metazoa; Chordata; Mammalia; Primates; Cebidae. The transcript has a single exon. The record is from RefSeq and is a predicted model, not a curated record.